Molecule: long non-coding RNA, 314 nt
Organism: Sceloporus undulatus (fence lizard)
Lineage: Eukaryota; Metazoa; Chordata; Lepidosauria; Squamata; Phrynosomatidae
Exons: 3
Source: RefSeq, a predicted model, not a curated record
CUGUUGACUUCGAUACCAACGAAGAGAGAUGUAUCACAUUACGUCAACACAUUAUGAUGUGAGCUCCGUUUUCAGGGGAGCUCAAGCACAGCUAUUGAGGCAUGAUGUGACUAUGCAAUACAGCCACAGGAACCAAGGAAUGUUCUUAAGUUACCACCUUGAAUCACAGUUUUGGGAAGAACACAGGAAAAUCCUUUCUCACAGAAGCAUGGACUUACUAUCACAAGAAAUGAAUAACUUUCUCAGAAGCUGUCUGGACAGAAGGUGGAACUGGACUUUACAAACUGUUGCUAUAAGAUUAACCAUUAAGCAUC